ACAACCGCCGAGUUAAAACAGAACUACGAGAUGGCUAGAUCCUCGAAAGGGGUACGUAGGCAGCUCGUUGAAGGACGAGUUCAGCUAUCCCCCUCUCCAAAAAGGGGGGGGAGUGGGUGCGUAUACUCGUAUAUUCCCACAUAGGAAAAGAUGCGUUAUUGUAAUCGAAUUCUAUCGAGAUUUCGAAAUUUUUUACGAAAUAUGCGUCGCUCUUUUUAAGACAAAAUCGCAAAACAAUCUCAAUUCAAAAAUAUACGUAUAGUCUUCGAAAUAACUGCGAGACGUCGCCAAGUUAAAAAUCGAGAUGAUACGAACAAAUUGUCCGAACGCGACCACUACAAAUCUUACACUCCGUUCAUCGAUUGGCCCCGACGAACACAUCAGCCGUCUUAAAAAAAUGCAACCUGAUCACUCUUUUGAUCUUCAAACGUCCAACACAAGGACGAAAGCGCACUACAAAAAAAAUCCAAAAUUUUGGUCUAGCACUUCCAGUUGGCUUAAAAAUUGUUUCUGGAAAGAUGCUCGAUUCGUACCAUACAAGUCGUAUAAGCCGAGAAUCCAUCGCGGACUUUAAAUCGGUACGAAUCAGGUAGAAAUCGCAACAG
This 605-nucleotide long non-coding RNA is filed under the name Brassica napus (rape). Its description in RNAcentral is "long non-coding RNA (BNAP_LNC024633)". Lineage: Eukaryota; Viridiplantae; Streptophyta; Magnoliopsida; Brassicales; Brassicaceae. The record is from RNAcentral.